Equus quagga is the source of this 880-nucleotide long non-coding RNA. RefSeq lists it as uncharacterized. The transcript has 3 exons. Lineage: Eukaryota; Metazoa; Chordata; Mammalia; Perissodactyla; Equidae. The record is from RefSeq and is a predicted model, not a curated record.
GACCUGCCGCCCAGAGGAAUUAAGUGACUUUCCAGAAGUCAGGCAGGGAAUGACAGCUCAAAUGUCUGGCUGCAGCUUUCUGACUAGUCCCAUUCUCUUCCUCUGCCCUAUUCCCAUGAUACCAAGAGCAGGAGCACAGACUCCCAGAGAAGAGAGGAGUCACAAACUCAGGCAGAAAGGAUCCAAGAAGCCCUGUGGUUAACCCCUGCCUCCAGGGGAGAUGAGGCUAAAAUCCUGUGGAUCUGGCUGGCUCCUGACAUUGUAGCAGAGACGUCUCUGACAGGAGGAAGGAGGGAGUAAUAAUUUUUCUGGUUACACGAUUGCAAGUUGAGAGGUUUUUUCCUCAGUGUGAUUCCACUGCCUCUGGCCUCCGUCGUCCGCUGGGAAGUCCACGGUCAGUCUGAAGGCCCCGCCUUGGCAGCUGGAACUCACCUCGCAGCGGCCCUGUUUACUCACCUACCAGCUGCCUUCCUUAGAACCAGUUUUGUUCCUGUUCAGAAGGAAACCAGGCAGAGUUGGGAAAAUAUUUCCUCAGCCAGCUCUGCAGCCCCACUGUCUGGCGGAGGCCAUCUGGCCGGGAUGCACUCCGAGGGAGUAAACGCAGGAUUGCCCUCUCCCCGCACGACGGGGCAGAGAAGACGGCAGGUCCCAAGACGGGCUGCUACUGUGCUGGUUCUAACUCAUCUCCGGAAGUCCCCAGAGUCCAGCAGUGUGUUGGUGAUGUUUCACCACCGGCUCCCUGGGAGGGUGGGGGUGGGUGUUGAUCUCCAUGGACAAUUUGGAACUACCAAAAGUGAACUCACGGAACACGGAGUUAGCAAGAGAUGCACAGUAGCACUCCACUGUGCAAGAUUUCUACCAUACGGAUAUCAUAGAUGUA